RNAcentral lists this ribosomal RNA (459 nucleotides) under uncultured bacterium. RNAcentral's name for it is "partial 16S ribosomal RNA". It matches the Rfam family "Bacterial small subunit ribosomal RNA", at positions 338 to 795 of the family's 1533-position model. The record is from RNAcentral.
CCUACGGGUGGCAGCAGUGAGGAAUAUUGGUCAAUGGGCGGGAGCCUGAACCAGCCAAGUCGCGUGCAGGAUGAAGGUCCUACGGAUUGUAAACCUCUUUUGUCCGGGAACAAAGACUCUUACGUGUAGGCGUUUGAGUGUACCGGAUGAACAAGCAUCGGCUAACUCCGUGCCAGCAGCCGCGGUAAUACGGAGGAUGCGAGCGUUAUCCGGAUUUAUUGGGUUUAAAGGGUGCGAAGGCGGAGUGUAAAGUUAGCGGUAAAAUCUCGGGGCUCAACCCGGGCCCUGCGUUGAAACUGGCGUGCUUGAGUGGGCGAGAAGCAUGCGGAAUGCGUGGUGUAGCGGUGAAAUGCAUAGAUAUGGCGCAGAACCCCGAUUGCGAAGGCAGCAUGCUGGCGCCGAACUGACGCUGAGGCACGAAAGCGCGGGUAUCGAACAGGAUUAGAUACCCCGGUAGUC